Molecule: ribosomal RNA, 587 nt
Filed under: uncultured bacterium
Lineage: Bacteria
Description: bacterial SSU rRNA
Rfam family: Bacterial small subunit ribosomal RNA
Source: RNAcentral
CACGCUGGCGGCGUGCCUAACACAUGCAAGUCGAACGAGAAAGUGGAGCAAUCCAUGAGUAAAGUGGCGACCGGGUGAGUAACACGUGACUAACCUACCUCCGAGUGGGGAAUAACUCCGGGAAACCGGGGCUAAUACCGCAUAACAUCGCAAGAUCAAAGCAGCAAUGCGCUUGGAGAGGGGGUCGCGGCUGAUUAGCUCGUUGGCGGGGUAACGGCCCACCAAGGCGAAGAUCGGUAUCCGGCCUGAGAGGGCGCACGGACACACUGGAACUGAAACACGGUCCAGACUCCUACGGGAGGCAGCAGUGGGGAAUUUUGCGCAAUGGGGGAAACCCUGACGCAGCAACGCCGCGUGGAGGAUGAAGCCCUUUGGGGCGUAAACUCCUUUCGACUCGGACGAUAAUGACGGUACGAGUGGAAGAAGCACCGGCUAACUCUGUGCCAGCAGCCGCGGUAAUACAGAGGGUGCGAGCGUUGUUCGGAAUUAUUGGGCGUAAAGGGCGCGUAGCGGUGCGGUAAGUCACCUGUGAAAUCUCCUGGCUUACUGGGAGCCUGCAGGCGAAACUACCGUGCUGGAGUGUGGGA